GCUGUCGUAGGCGGCAGUGUGUUCGAAGGCUUUGAUGGCGAGGUCGAAACGGGUUGCAAGCGUCAGCGAUCCUUCGUUGUCAUCCAUCUCUUUAAUAAUGGCGUCGUAGUCGCUGCUCUUCACCACGAUUGCGACAUCUUUAUGGUUCUUGGCGGCGGAGCGCACCAUCGUUGGGCCGCCGAUAUCGAUGUUCUCAACCGCAUCUUCCAGCGAGCAACCUUCACGGGCCACGGUCUGGGCGAACGGAUACAGGUUAACAACCACCAUAUCGAUAGGCUGGAUCUGAUGUUCUUCCAUAAUGGCAUCGUCCUGGCCGCGACGGCCCAGAAUGCCACCAUGUACUUUCGGAUGCAGGGUCUUCACGCGUCCAUCCAUCAUCUCCGGGAAACCGGUGUAAUCGGAAACUUCGGUUACCGGCAGACCUUUUUCUGCUAACAGACGGGCAGUGCCCCCUGUAGACAGCAGCUCCACACCGCGUGCGGAAAGUGCCUGGGCGAAUUCGACGAUACCGGCUUUGUCAGAAACACUGAGCAGAGCGCGGCGGACUGGACGACGUUGUUGCAUGGUAAAUCCCCUGGAUUUGACUAUUACAGAGAGCGUUAGCUGAAUUUUUCGCGAAAAACUCAGCUAACGCCCCUAACGGGGCAUCCUUAUUUUUCGCCCGCAUUGUAACGAAAACGUUUGCGCAACGCUCGCGAAUUUUUCUCUUUCAAUGGUGAUCACAAUUUUGACAGUGGUUACCGUGGGAAAAAUACAGAAAUUACAUUGAUGAUUGUGGAUAACUCUGUGCGUAAAAAGGUAUAAAGCGGGGUUUUGCUGGGGAAUGCAGCAGUCAGUCAUUUUUCUGCAAUUUUUCUAUUGCGGCCUGCGGAGAACUCCCUAUAAUGCGCCUCCAUCGACACGGCGGAUGUGAAUCACUUCACACAAACAGCCGGUUCGGUUGAAGAGAAAAAUCUUGAAAUUCAGGGUUGACUCUGAAAGAGGAAAGCGUAAUAUACGCCACCUCGCGACAGUGCGCUAAAGCGCGUCGCAACUGCUCUUUAACAAUUUAUCAGACAAUCUGUGUGGGCACUCGAAGAUACGGAUUCUUAACGUCGCAAGACGAAAAAUGAAUACCAAGUCUCAAGAGUGAACACGUAAUUCAUUACGA
Molecule: ribosomal RNA, 1150 nt
Filed under: Escherichia coli O104:H4 str. C236-11
Lineage: Bacteria; Pseudomonadati; Pseudomonadota; Gammaproteobacteria; Enterobacterales; Enterobacteriaceae
Description: 23S ribosomal RNA
Source: RNAcentral